RNAcentral lists this ribosomal RNA (468 nucleotides) under uncultured bacterium. RNAcentral's name for it is "partial 16S ribosomal RNA". It matches the Rfam family "Bacterial small subunit ribosomal RNA", at positions 28 to 507 of the family's 1533-position model. The record is from RNAcentral.
GACGAACGCUGGCGGCGUGCUUAACACAUGCAAGUCGAACGGAAAGGCCCUGCUUUUGUGGGGUGCUCGAGUGGCGAACGGGUGAGUAACACGUGAGUAACCUGCCCUUGACUUUGGGAUAACUUCAGGAAACUGGGGCUAAUACCGGAUAGGAGCUCCUGCUGCAUGGUGGGGGUUGGAAAGUUUCGGCGGUUGGGGAUGGACUCGCGGCUUAUCAGCUUGUUGGUGGGGUAGUGGCUUACCAAGGCUUUGACGGGUAGCCGGCCUGAGAGGGUGACCGGCCACAUUGGGACUGAGAUACGGCCCAGACUCCUACGGGAGGCAGCAGCGGGGAAUAUUGCACAAUGGGCGGAAGCCUGAUGCAGCAACGCCGCGUGCGGGAUGACGGCCUUCGGGUUGUAAACCGCUUUCGCCUGUGACGAAGCGUGAGUGACGGUAAUGGGUAAAGAAGCACCGGCUAACUAUGUG